Molecule: ribosomal RNA, 833 nt
Filed under: Prochlorococcus sp. SCGC AAA300-I03
Lineage: Bacteria; Bacillati; Cyanobacteriota; Cyanophyceae; Synechococcales; Prochlorococcaceae
Description: SSU rRNA
Rfam family: Bacterial small subunit ribosomal RNA
Source: RNAcentral
ACGCUGGCGGCGUGCUUAACACAUGCAAGUCGAACGAACCUUCGGGUUAGUGGCGGACGGGUGAGUAACGCGUGAGAAUCUGCCCUCAGGAGGGGGAUAACGGUUGGAAACGACCGCUAAUACCCCAUAUGCCUAUUGGUGAAAUGAAUUUCGCCUGAGGAUGAGCUCGCGUCUGAUUAGCUAGUUGGUGAGGUAAUGGCUCACCAAGGCUUCGAUCAGUAGCUGGUCUGAGAGGAUGAUCAGCCACACUGGGACUGAGACACGGCCCAGACUCCUACGGGAGGCAGCAGUGGGGAAUUUUCCGCAAUGGGCGAAAGCCUGACGGAGCAACGCCGCGUGAGGGACGAAGGCCUCUGGGCUGUAAACCUCUUUUCUCAAGGAAGAAGAUAUGACGGUACUUGAGGAAUAAGCCACGGCUAAUUCCGUGCCAGCAGCCGCGGUAAUACGGGAGUGGCAAGCGUUAUCCGGAAUUAUUGGGCGUAAAGCGUCCGCAGGCGGCUUUUCAAGUCUGCUGUUAAAGCGUGGAGCUUAACUCCAUCAUGGCAGUGGAAACUGAAAGGCUUGAGUAUGGUAGGGGCAGAGGGAAUUCCCGGUGUAGCGGUGAAAUGCGUAGAUAUCGGGAAGAACACCAGUGGCGAAGGCGCUCUGCUGGGCCAUUACUGACGCUCAUGGACGAAAGCCAGGGGAGCGAAAGGGAUUAGAUACCCCUGUAGUCCUGGCCGUAAACGAUGAACACUAGGUGUCGGGGGAAUCGACCCCUUCGGUGUCGUAGCUAACGCGUUAAGUGUUCCGCCUGGGGAGUACGCACGCAAGUGUGACCAAAAGAGAAUGCG